Molecule: ribosomal RNA, 726 nt
Filed under: Triticum aestivum (bread wheat)
Lineage: Eukaryota; Viridiplantae; Streptophyta; Magnoliopsida; Poales; Poaceae
Description: partial small subunit ribosomal RNA
Source: RNAcentral
AUGACCGUGAAUGAUGGACAUGAUUCAGCCUGGCAAUAUCACCAGAACAAUAUUGCGACGGGUGCUAUGUAUCCGAACAAGCAAGCCCUGAAGGAUGCAAUAAUUAAUUGGGCAAUGUCCACGCAAAGGGUUUUCAAAGCUGAGGUGUCCAGUCAGAAAUUCCUGACAAUGGUAUGUAAGAACGCAGAUUGUCCCGCAAGGGUGCACGGCUUUCUCCCUAAGUAUGGCACAAGUUGGGUGAUAAGUGACUUAGUUAAUCACACUUGUCUUAUUCCCAGCAUCCCUCAAGAUCAUGCCAACCUUUCAUCCACGCUUAUUGCUCGAUUGUUUUACGAUGAGAUAGUGCAAGGCAAAGCUAUGGAAGUGAAGGCAGUCCAGACAAAAGUCUUCGCCAGGUUGAAGUUCAGAAUUUCUUAUGGCAAGGCUUGGAGGGCUAAGCAUGCAGCGCUUGAGAGGAGAUUUGGUUCUUAUUUUGAUGCAUAUGACUCUGUUGUCCACCUCCUCCACACCCUGCAGCAGCGGAAUCCAGGCACCUAUAUCGAUAUCCAAGACAUGUUCAUGCCAGAGUUCCCAACUGUGAGGGUGUUGCAUCGUCUCUUCUUCUCUUUCGGUGUAUGCAUCGAAGCUUUCAGGCAUUGCCGACCGGUGAUAUGUGUUGACGGUACUUUUCUCACAGGCAAGUACAAGGGUCAGAUCGUGAAGUGGAUUUCACUUUUGAUUGGUUGA